Molecule: long non-coding RNA, 1639 nt
Filed under: Homo sapiens (human)
Lineage: Eukaryota; Metazoa; Chordata; Mammalia; Primates; Hominidae
Description: novel transcript
Source: RNAcentral
ACAUGGAGAGAACAUCCUGAUCAAUCUGGUCUUUGCUGCUACCCUGGUCAACAGCCUGAGCUGGAUACCUGGCUGACAAGUACCACCUUUUUCCUACACAGAUGACAACCCAGCCCAUGAGCACCAGGAAAAUUAAACAAAAAGCCGAAAGAAAAAAGAAAAGAAGAAGUCUGGGAGUGAAGUUAUAUGCUUAAAGGCAUGCAUCUAGCAAAUGGCAAAAAAAAUGGAUGAAGACACAAGACUGAUUGUCACUAAAAACCAUGUGGUAUGUUUGAGCAAGCCCUUCUCUAGGGAAGACCCAUAAAAUUUGACUCAUGAAGAGAGAGAAAAAAAUUCAGGAGGCGAAAUUAAUACGGGGAGAAAAUGAAAGAGAUUUAGUGCAGCUAUCAACCGACCAUUGUGCUGUCUUUAAGAGUCUGUUGAAACAACAUAAUAAGAGCUCAUUGACCAGAAUUAGCAACAUGGCCCUUCCUAACUAGAAGGGACCAGAAUGGAUAGUCCUUCUAUGUGUCCAGAAGGAGAGAAGGACCAGAUAUGUGUGAUCAUGUCUCCAUUAUGGGAGAAAAGAGAAUUGAAAAAGAAAGAAGAUCCACAUAGUGUCUGAGGAGCUGAGACAAAAGAAAAGAGUUGUUAUGGGGCUCUGAUUAGAAUAUAGAGCAAAUCACAGAGCCUCCUGCUAACAGGUGUGCAGACAAGCGCUAAGAUGAAAUGGGCCAAAUACGAGAGUCAGGAAACUUGUGUGCUGGUUUUACCUGUGACAUAAACCAGCAGUAUGAAUUUGGUCCAAACACGAAAGUGAAGCAGCAAGCAGCCCAUGACAAAUAUGUGCACUGCCAGCUAAUGAAUAUUGGAGAACAUGACACGUUGGAGAGCCCAGUGGGUCUUGAAAGUCUGAGUUCCAGCAAAUUCUCAUGUCUGCAUCGACUGCAGCAAGGUCAAAAGUUGGAAAGCAGGGAUAUUCGAUGCCACUGCUACUCCUUCACUUGCUCAUUCUGCAAAAGUUUGUAGAUCUUCUGCAAGGAGAACGGCAUUGUUAACUACCUACAGGAAGUGACAGGAUGUCACUCUGUCACCUAGACUGGAAUUCAGUGGUGCAAUCAUAGCUCACAGCAGCCUCAACCUCCUGGGCUCAAGCAAUCCUCCAGCCUCCAUCUCCUGAGUAGCUGGAACUACAGGUUUUCCAAUCUGGCGGCUGGGAGCAGGUGUUAUGCUUGCUUCUGUGGCUGCAGGUAGUUUCCUUAGAAUGUCCUGUGUGCUUUUGGUAUGAUCAUUAUGCUGGACUCACAUGAGAGAUGGAAAAGAAUCUCCCUCUGUCAUCCAGGCUGGAGUGCAGUGGCAUGGUUACAGCUCACUGUACCUUUGACCUCUCAGGCUCAAGAGAUCUUCCCACCCUAGCCUCCCAAGUGGCUGUGUCUACAGACAUGACUUUUCUAGAGAAGAUGAGAAGGAACUAAUUUUAAACACCUGGCCUUGGUCUGAUGCAUCCGUUACCUCCACCAGAAAGGAUGGCUAAAGGCAGAAGAGCCUGAGAGAGGAGACCCACGUGGCACACACUGCCGUACACUUCCACAAAGACUGGAUUUUUCCAUAGUCAGAAGGCAGCUGAACUCCAUAGGAUAUGAUGUGAGCAAGAGCAGGU